AUUGAACGCUGGCGGCAUGCUUUACACAUGCAAGUCGAACGGCAGCGCGGGCUUCGGCCUGGCGGCGAGUGGCGAACGGGUGAGUAAUGCAUCUGAACGUGCCCAGUAGUGGGGGAUAGCCCGGCGAAAGCCGGAUUAAUACCGCAUACGACCUGAGGGUGAAAGCGGGGGACCGAAAGGCCUCGCGCUAUUGGAGCGGCCGAUGUCGGAUUUGCUAGUUGGUGGGGUAAAGGCUUACCAAGGCGACGAUCCGUAGCUGGUCUGAGAGGACGACCAGCCACACUGGGACUGAGACACGGCCCAGACUCCUACGGGAGGCAGCAGUGGGGAAUUUUGGACAAUGGGGGCAACCCUGAUCCAGCCAUGCCGCGUGCGGGAAGAAGGCCUUCGGGUUGUAAACCGCUUUUGUUCGGGAAGAAAUCCUCUGGGCUAAUACCCCGGGGGGAUGACGGUACCGGAAGAAUAAGCACCGGCUAACUACGUG
RNAcentral lists this ribosomal RNA (484 nucleotides) under uncultured bacterium. Its description in RNAcentral is "partial 16S ribosomal RNA". It matches the Rfam family "Bacterial small subunit ribosomal RNA", at positions 28 to 507 of the family's 1533-position model. The record is from RNAcentral.